AAUAGAAGAAUGACAAAUCAAAUUUUUUCUUCCUCAUUUUCAGCUUUCUAACCUAAAAAUUAAUAUUCAAAUCCAACUAAAAAUGCUAAAACUAAGGAGGAAAAUUUUGAUUUGUCAUUUUCCUAUU
RNAcentral lists this microRNA precursor (127 nucleotides) under Gossypium hirsutum (cotton). RNAcentral describes it as "MIR7504 microRNA precursor family". It matches the Rfam family "MIR7504 microRNA precursor family". Lineage: Eukaryota; Viridiplantae; Streptophyta; Magnoliopsida; Malvales; Malvaceae. The record is from Rfam by way of RNAcentral.